RNAcentral lists this ribosomal RNA (634 nucleotides) under Chondria sp. ARS-2011. Its description in RNAcentral is "eukaryotic LSU rRNA". It matches the Rfam family "Eukaryotic large subunit ribosomal RNA", at positions 1284 to 1899 of the family's 3401-position model. The record is from RNAcentral. Lineage: Eukaryota; Rhodophyta; Florideophyceae; Ceramiales; Rhodomelaceae.
AACAACUCACCUGCCGAAUGAAUUAGCCCUGAAAAUGGAUGGCGCUCAAGCGGGCAGCCGACACUAUACCAUUUAAGCUAGAUAUGUCUUAAAUGAGUAGGAGGAACGUGGCGGUUGUACAGAAGCAUUCCCGCAAGGGGGUGUGGAACGGCCGCUAGUGCAGAUCUUGGUGGUAGUAGCAAAUAUUCAAAUGUGAUCCUUGAAGGGUCAAGUGGGGAAGGGUUCCACGCGAUCAUUGAUUGAGCGUGGGUUAGUCGGUCCUGAGUCGGCUGGUAAUUUCAUUGCCAUCGGCGAAAGGGAAACAGGUAAAGAUUCCUGUACUUGACAUAGUUUGGGCAACCUCUCCUUUCCGGAUGACUCCCAGAAUGGCGUGCUUGAAGUCCUCUGACAGAGAUCUCUUUUCUGUUUCACAUACCUCUGUGACCCGAAAUAGGUUCGUCCUGAGUAGGGUUGCUUGCCUUGAUUGGUGGGGUAGAGCAGCGGGAUUUUUCCCGUUGUAUGAGUUGACUCGUGCGUCCCUUGAAGAGCUGGGCCCGGGCCAUUUCUUUUGAUUUGGUAGGUAUUCUAUGUUUAAACCGUACCCAUAACCGCAUCAGGUCCCCAAGGUGAACAGCCUCUGUCCAAUAUGAAUAAU